RNAcentral lists this ribosomal RNA (478 nucleotides) under uncultured bacterium. RNAcentral describes it as "partial 16S ribosomal RNA". It matches the Rfam family "Bacterial small subunit ribosomal RNA", at positions 28 to 507 of the family's 1533-position model. The record is from RNAcentral.
GAUGAACGCUGGCGGCGUGCUUAACACAUGCAAGUCGAACGAGAAGUGAAGACGGAAACCUUCGGGCGGAAGGCUUUAUUUCGAGUGGCGGACGGGUGAGUAACGCGUGGGUAACCUGCCUCAUACAGGGGGAUAACAGUUGGAAACGACUGUUAAUACCGCAUAAGACCACAGCACCGCAUGGUGCGGGGGUAAAAACUCCGGUGGUAUGAGAUGGACCCGCGUUCGAUUAGCCAGUUGGCGGGGUAACGGCCCACCAAAGCGACGAUCGAUAGCCGAUCUGAGAGGAUGACCGGCCACAUUGGGACUGAGACACGGCCCAAACUCCUACGGGAGGCAGCAGUGGGGAAUAUUGCACAAUGGGGGAAACCCUGAUGCAGCGACGCCGCGUGAGUGAAGAAGUAUUGCGGUAUGUAAAGCUCUAUCAGCAGGGAAGAAAAUGACGGUACCUGAGUAAGAAGUCCCGGCUAACUACGUG